Molecule: unclassified non-coding RNA, 421 nt
Filed under: soil metagenome
Description: partial contains 5.8S ribosomal RNA, internal transcribed spacer 2, and large subunit ribosomal RNA
Rfam family: 5.8S ribosomal RNA (bases 1-120)
Source: RNAcentral
GAUGAAGAACGCAGCGAAAUGCGAUACGUAAUGUGAAAUGCAGAAUUCAGUGAAUCAUCGAAUCUUUGAACGCAUAUUGCGCUCUUUGGUAUUCCGAAGAGCAUGCUUGUUUGAGUAUCAGUAAACACCUCAACCUCUUCUUGAUUUUUCAAAAGGAGGGUGGACUUGAGCUAUCCCAACAACCUUUACCGGUCGGCGGGCGGCUUGAAAUGCAGGUGCAGCUGGACUUUUAUCUGAGCUAAAAGCAUAUCUAUUUAGUCCUCGUCAAACAGGAUUAUUACUGUUGCUGCAGCUAACAUAAAGGAUAAUUGUCCUCUUUGCUGACUGAUGCAGGAUUUUACGACACUUUAUGUGUUGUUCAACUCGAUCUCAAAUCAAGUAAGACUACCCGCUGAACUUAAGCAUAUCAAUAAGCGGAGGA